UGAAUUGCACACCUCUUUCCUUCAGUUGACAUCUUGACCUGUAGCAGCGGAGGCAUUGAUGUCAUCCAUGCCCUGUACACGUUUGCUACUGCUGAUUGCGAUUACAGGCUGAGGAACACUAAUUGGAAGGUCAAUGUGCUCUGGAACAACAAUACGUGGGCGGAUUCGGAGACCAACGAGCACAGCACCGCUGCUGGCAGCUUCACCUUGGACAGCCUGGAGCCCUACUCGCAGGUGAAGGUGUGCAUGAGCGUGCCUGGCAGGGAAGACGAGGAGGCGUGUUGCUCCGCCACCACAGAGGAAGAUGUUCCCGACAAGCCGAGUGAAGUGAGCGUAUCCAACGUGACGAACACAACUGCUCGCAUCUCAUGGACGAGGCCACUUCAUGUCAACGGAGACAUCAAGUCAUGGCAAGUGAGUCUACG
This 425-nucleotide long non-coding RNA is filed under the name Penaeus japonicus. Its description in RNAcentral is "uncharacterized LOC122248412". The record is from RNAcentral. Lineage: Eukaryota; Metazoa; Arthropoda; Malacostraca; Decapoda; Penaeidae.